CCUACGGGUGGCAGCAGUGAGGAAUAUUGGUCAAUGGGCGCGAGCCUGAACCAGCCAAGUAGCGUGAAGGAUGACUGCCCUACGGGUUGUAAACUUCUUUUAUAAAGGAAUAAAGUGAGGCACGUGUGCCUUUUUGUAUGUACUUUAUGAAUAAGGAUCGGCUAACUCCGUGCCAGCAGCCGCGGUAAUACGGAGGAUCCGAGCGUUAUCCGGAUUUAUUGGGUUUAAAGGGUGCGCAGGCGGAAUGUCAAGUCAGCGGUAAAAUUUCGGGGCUCAACCCCGUCGUGCCGUUGAAACUGGCGGUCUUGAGUGGGCGAGAGGUAUGCGGAAUGCGUGGUGUAGCGGUGAAAUGCAUAGAUAUCACGCAGAACUCCGAUUGCGAAGGCAGCAUACCGGCGCUCAACUGACGCUCAGGCACGAAAGCGUGGGUAUCGAACAGGAUUAGAUACCCGGGUAGUC
RNAcentral lists this ribosomal RNA (459 nucleotides) under uncultured bacterium. Its description in RNAcentral is "partial 16S ribosomal RNA". It matches the Rfam family "Bacterial small subunit ribosomal RNA", at positions 338 to 795 of the family's 1533-position model. The record is from RNAcentral.